RNAcentral lists this ribosomal RNA (2893 nucleotides) under marine sediment metagenome. RNAcentral describes it as "bacterial LSU rRNA". It matches the Rfam family "Bacterial large subunit ribosomal RNA". The record is from RNAcentral.
CCAAGUGACUAAGCGCACACGGUGGAUGCCUUGGCGGCAGAAGGCGAUGAAGGACGUGGAAGUCUGCGAAAAGCCUCGGGGAGCUGACAAACAAGCUUUGAUCCGGGGAUGUCCGAAUGGGGAAACCCACCGCUUCGGCGGUAUCGCUACCUGAAUAUAUAGGGUAGCGAGGCGAACCCGGAGAACUGAAAUAUCUAAGUACCCGGAGGAAAAGAAAUCAAUUGAGACUCCCUCAGUAGCGACGAGCGAACGGGGACCAGCCGAUUGGUGAGAAGAUAGUGGAACAGAAUGGAAAGUCUGGCCAUAGUGGGUGAUAGCCCCGUACACGAAAUUAUCUCAUCAACAUAUUAAGUAGGGCGGAGCACGUGAAACUCUGUUUGAAGAUAGGGGGACCAUCCUCUAAGGCUAAGUACUCUCUGCCGACCGAUAGUGAACCAGUACCGUGAGGGAAAGGCGAAAAGAACCCCGGAGAGGGGAGUGAAAUAGAUCCUGAAACCGUGUGCGUACAAGCAGUCAGAGCCUAUCUUCGGAUGGGUGAUGGCGUACCUUUUGUAUAAUGGGUCAGCGACUUACUUUUUGUAGCAAGCUUAACCGCGUAGGGUAGGCGAAGGGAAACCGAGUCUUAAUAGGGCGUAUAGUUGCAAGGAGUAGACCCGAAACCGGGUGAUCUAGCCAUGAGCAGGGUGAAAGUGCAGUAACAUGCACCGGAGGCCCGAACCCACUUAUGUUGAAAAAUGAGGGGAUGACUUGUGGUUAGGAGUGAAAGGCUAAACAAACCCGGAGAUAGCUGGUUCUCCUCGAAAGCUAUUUAGGUAGCGCCUCGUGUAUUGCCCUUGGGGGUAGAGCACUGUUAUGGCUAGGGGGUCAUACCGACUUACCAAACCAUGGCAAACUCCGAAUACCAAGGAGCAUGAGCACGGGAGACACACGGCGGGUGCUAACGUCCGUCGUGGAAAGGGAAACAACCCAGACCACCAGCUAAGGUCCCUAAAUUACUACUAAGUGGGAAACGAUGUGGAAAGGCCCAGACAGCCAGGAGGUUGGCUUAGAAGCAGCCACCCUUUAAAGAAAGCGUAAUAGCUCACUGGUCGAGUCGGUCUGCGCGGAAGAUUUAACGGGGCUAAAGUAGUAUACCGAAGCUGUGGAAUCGUAAAUUCUUCGGAAUUUGCGGUUGGUAGAGGAGCGUUCUGUAGGCCUGUGAAGGUGAACCGGGAGGUUCGCUGGAGGUAUCAGAAGUGCGAAUGCUGACAUGAGUAACGAUAAAGGGAGUGAAAAACUCCCUCGCCGAAAACCCAAGGUUUCCUAGCGCAACGUUAAUCGGCGCAGGGUGAGUCGGCCCCUAAGGCGAGGCAGAAAUGCGUAGUCGAUGGGAAGCAGGUUAAUAUUCCUGCACCUUUUGUUACUGCGAUGGAGGGACGGAGAAGGCUAAUUACGCCUGGUGUUGGUUAUCCAGGUUCAAGCAUGUAGGGAGUGAUCUUAGGUAAAUCCGGGAUCACAUAUAUCCUGAGGUGUGAUGAGGGGUCUCAACAUAGAGACGAAGGUGAUGAUGCCAUGCUUCCAGGAAAAUCUUCUAAGCAUAGGUAACAAAGGACCGUACCGUAAACCGACACAGGUGGGUGGGUAGAGAAUACCAAGGCGCUUGAGAGAACUCGGGUGAAGGAACUAGGCAAAAUGGUACCGUAACUUCGGGAGAAGGUACGCCAUUGCCGGUGAUGAGGCUUGCCCUCUGAGCUGGCGAUGGCCGCAGAAGCCAGGCCGCUGCGACUGUUUAUUAAAAACACAGCACUCUGCAAACACGUAAGUGGACGUAUAGGGUGUGACGCCUGCCCGGUGCCGGAAGGUUAAUUGAUGGGGUUAGACUUAGGUCGAAGCUCUUGAUCGAAGCCCCGGUAAACGGCGGCCGUAACUAUAACGGUCCUAAGGUAGCGAAAUUCCUUGUCGGGUAAGUUCCGACCUGCACGAAUGGCGUAACGAUGGCGGCGCUGUCUCCACCCGAGACUCAGUGAAAUUGAAAUCGCUGUUAAGAUGCAGUGUACCCGCGGCUAGACGGAAAGACCCCGUGCACCUUUACUACAGCUUCACACUGAACUUUGACUAUCUUUGUGUAGGAUAGGUGGGAGACUUUGAAGCCAGGGCGUCAGUUCUGGUGGAGUCAACCUUGAAAUACCACCCUGACAUAGUUGAAGUUCUAACCCAGGUCCGUUAUCCGGAUCGGGAACAGUGUGUGGUGGGUAGUUUGACUGGGGCGGUCUCCUCCCAAAGAGUAACGGAGGAGCACGAAGGUGGGCUAAUCACGGUCGGACAUCGUGAGAUUAGUGCAAUGGCAUAAGCCCGCUUGACUGCGAGAUCGACGGAUCGAGCAGGUACGAAAGUAGGUCAUAGUGAUCCGGUGGUUCUGUAUGGAAGGGCCAUCGCUCAACGGAUAAAAGGUACGCCGGGGAUAACAGGCUGAUACCGCCCAAGAGUUCAUAUCGACGGCGGUGUUUGGCACCUCGAUGUCGGCUCAUCACAUCCUGGGGCUGUAGCCGGUCCCAAGGGUAUGGCUGUUCGCCAUUUAAAGUGGUACGCGAGCUGGGUUUAGAACGUCGUGAGACAGUUCGGUCCCUAUCUGCCGUGGGCGUUAGAGAUUUGAGGGAAGCUGCUUCUAGUACGAGAGGACCGAAGUGGACGAACCUCUGGUGUUCCGGUUGUCACGCCAGUGGCAUUGCCGGGUAGCUAAGUUCGGAAGGGAUAACCGCUGAAAGCAUCUAAGCGGGAAGCCUCUCCCAAGAUUAGAUCUCUCAACACUUGAUGUUGUAAGGACCCUUGUAGACUACGAGGUUGAUAGGCUGGGUGUGGAAGCACAGUAAUGUGUGAAGCUAACCAGUACUAAUUGUCCGAGAGACUUGGUCAU